Carica papaya (papaya) is the source of this 1024-nucleotide non-coding RNA. The record is from RefSeq and is a predicted model, not a curated record. NCBI's taxonomy places the organism in Eukaryota, Viridiplantae, Streptophyta, Magnoliopsida, Brassicales, Caricaceae.
GUUUUUUAGAAAAUUUAGUGAGAGAAAGAGAAGUCUAGAGAGAGAGAAAGAAAAGUAAAAGCAAGAGGACUUCUCAAAGAUUGCUAAAGCCUUUUUUUCUUCUUUCAAAGGACAAAUCAAACUACAAUUAUGCCAACCUUUGACUUCAGGUGUAAAAUGGACCUUUAAUUUUCUUGUAAGAGAUUUGACGUGACCUUAGGAGGGCUUUCCAGUUACCUGGGAAGCAACCAUCAGAUUUCGCGUCAAUCUGGUGACAAGGUCUGAAAGAAGCUUGGACUAAGGAAACGGAGUCUAGAUUCGAUAACAAGACCCAUUCCCAUAAAGCCCAAAGAUCUAGUUCGUGCAAGCUUAAAUAAGGUAAGAUGGAUCAUUGAUUCCAUCAAGACUGGAAAUCCUUAUGGGCUGCUAAGACAACUGACCCAAGGAAGCAUCAAUGGCAAUGAGUUGGGGGCUUUUGGAUUGAUCAUAGAGGAUGAAGAUGGUGUGUCCAAGACUGCGCACAGAGGGGAGGUACCUGAAGGGGGGCAACCUGCGUCACCUGACCCGCCAUUUGGCCUGUUAGGCCCAACCCACGGCCUAACAAGCCACGCACCCAAGAAGAAUGUGUAGCCCAUGCCGCACUCCCCUGCAGGUGGGCUGAUCGAGGCCCAUCGAGAAGACCUGAAGGCCGACCCUCAUCCCGAGGCCCGAUUUAGUGGACCUGCACCUAAAGGAGAAGAAAUUGGGCCAUAAGCUCGGCCCAACAGUCCGACCCAACAAUAGUUGUGGGCCUAGCCGAGGUGAGACCCGGGUAGGCUGCGGAGCCAUGAGGUCCAAAGGCCGCACACAUGGGGGCCCGACCCAAAGCUACACGUGCACAUGUGGGCUUCCGUAACCUACACGGGUGAGGUGUGUGAUGUCUGUGAGAGAGGGGAAGAAGUGGUAAGUUUUUGGACUUCUUUUCUCUACCUGCUUUAUGUGAUUUUUCAGCCCAAAUUCACAAAACCCACAUGGUAAUUAUCACCUCAUUAUUUAAUUAUUAUUA